This 611-nucleotide ribosomal RNA is filed under the name uncultured bacterium. RNAcentral describes it as "bacterial SSU rRNA". The stretch from base 1 to 534 matches the Rfam family "Bacterial small subunit ribosomal RNA", at positions 338 to 873 of the family's 1533-position model. The record is from RNAcentral.
CCUACGGGAGGCAGCAGUAAGGAAUAUUGGUCAAUGGACGAAAGUCUGAACCAGCCAUGCCGCGUGAAGGAUGAAGGCCCUCUGGGUUGUAAACUUCUUUUAUAGGGGACGAAAAAAGGGCAUUCUUGCUCACUUGACGGUACCCUAGGAAUAAGCACCGGCUAACUCCGUGCCAGCAGCCGCGGUAAUACGGAGGGUGCAAGCGUUAUCCGGAUUUACUGGGUUUAAAGGGUGCGUAGGUGGGUUGGUAAGUCAGCGGUGAAAUCUUCGAGCUUAACUCGGAAACUGCCAUUGAUACUAUCAAUCUUGAAUCAUCUAGAGGUAAGCGGAAUAUGUCAUGUAGCGGUGAAAUGCUUAGAUAUGACAUAGAACACCAAUUGCGAAGGCAGCUUACUAUGGAUGUAUUGACACUGAGGCACGAAAGCGUGGGGAUCAAACAGGAUUAGAUACCCUGGUAGUCCGCGCCCUAAACUAUGGAUACUCGACAUUUGCGAUAUACUGUAAGUGUUNUGNGNGAAGANAUAAGUAUCCACCGNGGAGUAAGUAGUGNAGAGUUAGUUAAUUAAAUUAGAGUUAGAGNGNGAGAGNGCGAGACGACGACGAGGAGGAGG